Molecule: ribosomal RNA, 823 nt
Filed under: uncultured bacterium
Lineage: Bacteria
Description: bacterial SSU rRNA
Rfam family: Bacterial small subunit ribosomal RNA
Source: RNAcentral
UGAUCCUGGCUCAGAACGAACGCUGGCGGCAUGGCUAAGACAUGCAAGUCGCACGGAUCACAGUAGCAAUAUUGUGAUUAGUGGCGGAAGGGUGAGUAAUGCAUGGGUAACGUACCCCGAACACGGGAAUAACAGCGGGAGCAAUCCCUUUGCGAAAGUGCUGCUAAUACCCGAUGAAGUCCCGGGACCGCAUGGUUUCGGGAUCAAAGGUGGGGACCGCAAGGCCUACCGGUUUGGGAGCGGCCCAUGUCCUAUCAGCUCGUUGGUGAGGUAACGGCUCACCAAGGCUGCGACGGGUAGCGGGACUGAGAGGUUGGCCCGCCACAUCGGGACUGAGACACUGCCCGGACACCUACGGGUGGCUGCAGUAACGAAUAUUGGGCAAUGGGCGCAAGCCUGACCCAGCAAUGCCGCGUGCAGGAGGAAGUCCUUCGGGAUGUAAACUGCUGUCAGGGGUUCGCAAGCGAAGAGGGUGAACAAUCCUCUGAGUUGAGCCGCCCCAGAGGAAGCCUCGACUAACUCUGUGCCAGCAGUCGCGGUAAGACAGAGGAGGCGAGCGUUGUUCGGAAUCACUGGGCUUAAAGCGCGUGUAGGCGGCUCGGCAAGUGUCGUGUGAAAUCCGGCGGCUCAACUGUCGAACUGCACGACAGGCUGCCGGGCUUGAGGUCGGUAGAGGUGCCUGGAACUCUAGGUGGAGCGGUGAAAUGCGUAGAUAUCUAGAGGAACGCCAGAGGCGAAAGCGGGGCACUGGGCCGAUUCUGACGCUGAGACGCGAAAGCGUGGGGNGCAAACAGGAUUAGAUACCCUGGUAGUCCACGCCGUA